This 74-nucleotide transfer RNA is filed under the name Wolfiporia cocos MD-104 SS10. Its description in RNAcentral is "tRNA-Met (CAT) (tRNA-Met-CAT-1-1)". It matches the Rfam family "tRNA". Rfam says of the family: Transfer RNA (tRNA) molecules are approximately 80 nucleotides in length. Their secondary structure includes four short double-helical elements and three loops (D, anti-codon, and T loops). Lineage: Eukaryota; Fungi; Basidiomycota; Agaricomycetes; Polyporales; Phaeolaceae. The record is from RNAcentral.
GCCUUGAUGGCUCAGUUGGUUAGAGCGCAGGUCUCAUAAUCCUGAGGUCGUGAGUUCGACCCUCACUCGGGGCA